This 28-nucleotide small RNA is filed under the name Bombyx mori (domestic silkworm). RNAcentral's name for it is "ovarian small RNA-23767". The record is from RNAcentral. Lineage: Eukaryota; Metazoa; Arthropoda; Insecta; Lepidoptera; Bombycidae.
UAUCUCUGAAGUGUUUCGUGAUGGAUCC